Molecule: long non-coding RNA, 435 nt
Filed under: Coturnix japonica (Japanese quail)
Lineage: Eukaryota; Metazoa; Chordata; Aves; Galliformes; Phasianidae
Description: lncRNA (ENSCJPG00005007324.1)
Source: RNAcentral
AUGUCACCUCCCUCACUUGUAAGAGAUGUCUGUGACUGAACAGGUUUCACUAUUAACUAGGCUCUCACAGAACUUCUCCAGAGGACUGCCAGGCACAGUACUUCUCUUUGAGAGACUCUGCUUUACUACAGGUUGCUUCAUUCCUUUUCACUUUGGAAAUCUACUGAAGGAAUUAUAAAGAAUCUCACAGUAAUUUCAGUCCAAUUGGCAGUAGUUUAUGCACAGAAUGCUACAUCUACCCAGACAAAUGAUGGCUUGGUAGCAAAGAGGCUACGAGAGCUGUGAAGAUGUGGCAGCACAGAUCCGAGCAUGAACUGUACAAACCCUCUGGGCACCUGGCACAGUACUGCAGUUGCUGGCCUACAAAGGAACUGUGCCUGCUGCAUUUUUGCUGUUACCUGUGUAGCUAAAUUAAAGAUAGCGUGUACAUGCCCC